UUUUUUUCUUUUUUUUUUUUUAAAGGAAAGUUGGUAUUUCGCUUUCACAGGGCUAAUAAAUUAGUUACAAGAGAAAAGUUUCAGACCAUGAACCAUUAAAGAGGUCCCUUUACAAACCUAACAAUCAACUUAAUCAUAUAAGCCCGAGAACCCAAACAAGAAACCCUAAAUUAUAUUGGGUAUCAAUCCAAUCCAAAGAGCUAAAACUUCAACGGGAGCCGUCUUACACCUCCUAUACCUAGUAGAGAUAGCAACUCGACUUCAAGCAUGUAGGCAGAAAAAGCCCAUCCUCAACCAUAACUAAAAAACUUUUGAAAUGCAGUCAAGCAAAGGACCCAAUAACAAAUAAUAUAACUGUCAUGAAAAUGAACCUUGAAAGGCCAAUCCAAGCCAAAAGAGGAAUGGGGAUGGUAGAGCUCCACAACUUCUCAAUUUCGUAUAGCUGAUAGAUUCAACGUCAGAAUCUAAGUCAAAAUCUAAGCUUCUCAAUUUCGUAUAAUUUCGUAUAGCUGAUAGAUCUAGCGUCAGAAUCUAAGCCGAUACAAAAAUUCAGAGAUGCCACGCCGAUGUCAAGGGAACCUUCUCGCUAAGCCACGAAAAGAAGCUCAAAAAUAAAACUUCCAUAACCAACCCAUUUCACAGAUCUCCAUGUACCUCUUUCUCGCUUUUUGAUCAAAAGGUAUUAAAGUUUGUAGCAUGGUGCAAAUAUUGACAACAAGGCCAUGUGAUGUGCUUGCAAAUGGCAAUAAUUUUGUGGCCAAUGCUGAGGGAGGAAUAUCAAAACUAAGACUUCAUUAACCUCAUACAAAAAAAGUUAUAAAUUCUGCAUCAAUCUUCAUUCAUCAUCAAAAUCAAACCAGAUCUCUGCAAACUCCCAGUUUGACAUUGAUUAUAGUAACCAGAAAAGAGAGAGAGAAAGAGAAUAGCUUCUUUAUUUGAUAGAACUAACAUCUCGUUGCAAAGCUCACAGAUUUCAGAUCUCUACAGAAAAACAAACUACUGAAACUAAUACCCAGUAAUUAACCAUCAAGUUUAAAUCAAAGAGAACUAUGAAGAAAAAAAAGAACGUACACUGAAAAGAACUUCUCUAAUUAAUCUAGCCUCAAAUUGCAAAGCAAGAGAUCCAAUAACCUCGACCAAAAGUGCCUUGCACGUGGAUAAACUCUAUUAGUAUAUUCUCUAGACUCCCUGUACAGAUCUUCCAUGGUCUCCACAAAAUGAUUCAAGCUCCUAACUGGUGGUAUAUAAAGAGUCAAAGGCACUGCAGAGAAAGCCACUGUAAAGAACAGCUGCAACAUAAUUUAACCAAAACCCAGAAACGAAAAAACCAAAGAACAGAUUUUUGUGGGUUUUUUGCCCCUGAUCUGAGAUAUUACAGGCAGAGAAUGAGAGGGGGAAGGUGAGAUAUAAAGGGUUUAUGUGGGUUGGUGAUGAAAUCUUCGAAAAGUAAAAGGGAAGAUUUGGGAAUACAAAGGGUAAGCAUAAAUGAGAAAAGAAGAAGAAAAUGGAAGAUAAAGAGAGAGAAGAAUUCUAGAAAUUGAAGGAAGUUCAAGGCAAAAAUGUAGAUUUAUGCUAAUGUAUACAGAGAUAAUGGUAAGAUGUAGACAGAAAUAUUUAUAAGAAAGAACAGAAACAUGUGUUUGUACGGGACUAGUAGUUGGUGAGGAUCG
This 1670-nucleotide unclassified non-coding RNA is filed under the name Hevea brasiliensis (rubber tree). Lineage: Eukaryota; Viridiplantae; Streptophyta; Magnoliopsida; Malpighiales; Euphorbiaceae. The record is from RNAcentral.